RNAcentral lists this long non-coding RNA (352 nucleotides) under Malus domestica (apple). Its description in RNAcentral is "long non-coding RNA (MDOM_LNC002829)". Lineage: Eukaryota; Viridiplantae; Streptophyta; Magnoliopsida; Rosales; Rosaceae. The record is from RNAcentral.
UUGCUUGCUUGGAAGUCUGAUUGCUUACCUUGUCUGUUACCUCUUUCGGCAAAUCUCUUAGCUCGGCGACUUGGGGGACUCCUACUAUAGGGUUUGUAUCGCACUUAACCAAGCCCGAAACUACAAGUAAGCUUCAAGUGAAAUUGAUACAUUACCUUGUGCAUCUUCAUCGGUUAAAAAUACCACCCCUAGAUGGAGGAAAAGUACUUCCAAAGAAGAUGUCACAUCUACAUAUGAGACAGAUAAGGCAAGUGAAAAUGAUACCACACUUCGGUACUUAGAAGUUUCGUGGUUACUCAAUAGCUUGGAUCUUGCACGUCCCCAACCGAGGAGCUUCCCUCACUCGGGAACU